Molecule: ribosomal RNA, 300 nt
Filed under: uncultured bacterium
Lineage: Bacteria
Description: bacterial SSU rRNA
Rfam family: Bacterial small subunit ribosomal RNA
Source: RNAcentral
AACGAACGCUGGCGGCGUGGAUAAGACAUGCAAGUCGAACGCUGACUUCAGGGUAGCAAUAUUCUGAAGUCGGAGUGGCGCAAGGGUGCGUAACACGUGGGUAAUCUGCCGUGAAGGUUGGGGAUAACUUGCUGAAAGGCGAGCUAAUACCGAAUGUGAAAAUUAAGAGGCAUCUCUAGAUUUUCAAAGUUGGGGACCGCAAGGCCUGACGCUUCACGAUGAGCCCGCGGCCUAUCAGCUAGUUGGUGAGGUAACGGCUCACCAAGGCUAAGACGGGUAGCUGGUCUGAGAGGACGACCA